CCCUCUCCUGAUGAAAACCAGCCCAGCUCUGACUCUGCAGCUCUAGGAGAGGAGCCCAGCCCUGGGAUUCCCAGAUGUUUUCAUUUGUGAUCAGCACUGAACACAGAAGACUCAUCAUGGAGUUCGGCCUGAGCUGGGUUUUCCUUGUUGCUAUUUUAAAAGGUGUCCAGGGUGAGGUGCAGCUGGUGGAGUCUGGGGGCGGCUUGGCAAAGCCUGGGGGGUCCCUGAGACUCUCCUGCGCAGCCUCCGGAUUCACCUUCAGUAGCUACUACAUGAGCUGGGUCCGCCAGGCUCCAGGGAAGGGGCUGGAGUGGGUCUCAGCUAUUAAUAGUGGUGGGGGUAGCACAUGGUACGCAGACUCCGUGAAAGGCAGAUUCACCAUCUCCAGAGACAAUUCCAAGAACAUGCUGUAUCUUCAAAUGGACAGCCUGAGAGCCGAGGACACGGCUGUGUAUUACUGUGCGAAAGACACAGUGAGGGGAAGUCGGUACGAUCCUUACCGAGGAGAUGAGAAGUUCCCACCCAUGGUGGCCACGAUCAGAGUCCUGAGGAAGCUCAGGCUUCCCGGUGAGUCUUCUCCAGUCAGACUCAGGACAGGAGCCUGA
Molecule: non-coding RNA, 605 nt
Organism: Piliocolobus tephrosceles (Ugandan red Colobus)
Lineage: Eukaryota; Metazoa; Chordata; Mammalia; Primates; Cercopithecidae
Source: the annotation of a RefSeq genome assembly